RNAcentral lists this ribosomal RNA (498 nucleotides) under uncultured bacterium. RNAcentral's name for it is "partial 16S ribosomal RNA". It matches the Rfam family "Bacterial small subunit ribosomal RNA", at positions 29 to 523 of the family's 1533-position model. The record is from RNAcentral.
AUUGAACGCUGGCGGCAUGCUUUACACAUGCAAGUCGAACGGUAACAGGCCGCAAGGUGCUGACGAGUGGCGAACGGGUGAGUAAUGCAUCGGAACGUGCCCAGUCGUGGGGGAUAACGCAGCGAAAGCUGUGCUAAUACCGCAUACGAUCUAUGGAUGAAAGCGGGGGACCGUAAGGCCUCGCGCGAUUGGAGCGGCCGAUGUCAGAUUAGGUAGUUGGUGGGGGAAAGGCUCACCAAGCCAACGGUCUGUAGCUGGUCUGAGAGGACGACCAGCCACACUGGGACUGAGACACGGCCCAGACUCCUACGGGAGGCAGCAGUGGGGAAUUUUGGACAAUGGGCGCAAGCCUGAUCCAGCAAUGCCGCGUGCAGGAAGAAGGCCUUCGGGUUGUAAACUGCUUUUGUACGGAACGAAAAGGUUUGGGUUAAUACCCUGGGCCGAUGACGGUACCGUAAGAAUAAGCACCGGCUAACUACGUGCCAGCCGCCGCGGUAA